UAGUCACAGAGGUGUAAUAGUCGAUUUAAAGAUUAUUUACUUACACCCAAGAUGGUCGCGGUGUAGGCUGGACAGUUUCCAGGUGCAACUCCGCUUAAAUCUUCGUUGGAGGACUACGACAAAUUCGGUUCUUUGGCCCCAGAGUUGUUAAGGCUCCGCAGGUUCAGCAAUUUCUUUCCCACGGAGUUGUCGAAGCUCCGUGGGUUUAGUUCGGCUCUCUGACCCCGGAGUUGUUAAAGCUCCGUGGGUUCGAAUCUUGAGUCUAUAGGAAAGGGAUACAUCUAGGAUUGCGCUCGGCGACGGGGAGAGGCCAGAGGCUAUUUAGACGUCUGUUGCCUGCUUAAGAAAUGCAUUGGGUCCGUGAGGAUCCGCCGCGCUUAGAGAUCUUCACGAUCUCUAAGUGAUUUCUCUCCAACUUUGGUGGAAGCCACCCAAGCUCUUUAUACGGCUAACAAGCCAAUCGCUAGCCGUUACGUGUGCAUAUAUUAGAAUUGGCCAAUAAUGUGGCACGAAUCUUCAUACAAAUGGCGGGAACUCCUUUGCACCGUGCAUUUCUGAGAUGCAAAAGAAAUGCACCAUGCAAAGAAAGCUACAAAUUGGCAGGAAAUUCCCCAUUGCACCGGGGUUCUCUUCUGCAGCAGAGAACUCCACCGUGCAAGGAAGCUGCCAUUUAGCGGGAACAUAAUUUAGCGAUGCCGAAGCACACACAAACAAAAACUCACAACUUUGGGUUGUGACAGUUUCGUGGAAAACCUGGCUGCAAAUUAGACAGUUGCUCGUUUCCACUUUUCUGAACCCCUUGCGCAUCAGACCUGUGUGUCCAACUGAUUCUCAGACUUCGUAUUUCAUCAAGGGAAAUUGUCCUCAGUGGCCACUGGGCUUCACAUGUAUAAUUCUAUCAAACCUCUCUUGGAAUUGGUGCGCACACUGUGACAGAUGUUUGAUCCAAAACUACCUGUGAAAGGUUGUUUUUGGGGGACUGGGCAGGAGAAAGGUGGAAUGAGAGUUAAAAGUGAAAUGUGAAGUGCCAGGGAUACAGGCACACCUUUACAACUGUCACAACCCAAAGUUGUGAUUUUUUGUUUGUGUGUGCGCUUCAGCACUGCUAAAUUAUUUCCUGCUAUUUGUCGCUUUCUUUGCACGGUAGAGCUCUCUGCUGCUAGAGAGAGCUCUGGUGCAGCGGGGGAUUUCCCGCCAAAUUGCAGCUUCUUUGCAGUGUGCAUCUCUUUUGCAUUGUAGUGAUACACGCUGUAAAGAAGUUCCCGCCAUUUGUAUUAGGAUCCACGCCAUGUUAUUGGCCGACUCCUAAUUUAGGCACAUGUGGCGGCUAGCAAUUUGCUUGCUAGCCGUACAUAAGGCUUGGGUAGUUUCCGCCCAAGCUGGAAGAGGGAGGAAGAGAGAGAGAUUCUAUAUGAAGAUCUCCAAGCGCUGCGGACCCUCGCGGACCUGGCACGCCUCUCCAAAGCAGGCAAUAGAGGCUUCAUAACCGAACCCACGGAGCUUUAACUACUCCGGAGGGAAGAAUGAACCGCGCCUCUAGCCUCUCCCCGUUGCCAAGCGCAAUCCUAGACGUAUCCCUUUCCUGUAAUUUCAGACCCCACGGAGUCUAGCAAACUCCGGGGAAAACUUAUCGGACCCGCGAAGCCUGAAUAACUCCGGGGAAACUUUUCAAACCCAACUUAACUGGACCCGCGGAGCCUAGCAAACUCCGUGGGAGCAAUCGUUUUGUCAGAGUCCUCCAACGAGGGUUCAAGCGGGAGCUGUGCCUGGAAACUUAUCCAGCCUACACCGAUACCAUCUUUGGGUGUUUUCACGCUCUCAAACCCCCCCUCUUUGGCACGGACUACAACGUCACGCUGCACCAUAAAUCUAAACCCACUCGGAAUGGACAAGACUCCUUCCUUUCUGUUAUAAAAAACCCUUUUCCCAA
Alligator mississippiensis (American alligator) is the source of this 1930-nucleotide long non-coding RNA. RefSeq lists it as uncharacterized. The record is from RefSeq and is a predicted model, not a curated record. NCBI's taxonomy places the organism in Eukaryota, Metazoa, Chordata, Crocodylia, Alligatoridae. The transcript is spliced from 2 exons.